This 476-nucleotide ribosomal RNA is filed under the name uncultured bacterium. RNAcentral's name for it is "partial 16S ribosomal RNA". It matches the Rfam family "Bacterial small subunit ribosomal RNA", at positions 28 to 523 of the family's 1533-position model. The record is from RNAcentral.
GAUGAACGCUGGCGGCGUGCUUAACACAUGCAAGUCGAGCGGGUGAGUUCUUCGGAACGAUCUAGCGGCGGACGGGUGAGUAACACGUGGGCAACCUGCCUCAUAGAGGGGAAUAGCCUCCCGAAAGGGAGAUUAAUACCGCAUAACAUCGUUGAAGGGCAUCCUUCGAAGAUCAAAGGAGCAAUCCGCUAUGAGAUGGGCCCGCGGCGCAUUAGCUAGUUGGUGAGGUAACGGCUCACCAAGGCGACGAUGCGUGGCCGACCUGAGAGGGUGAUCGGCCACAUUGGGACUGAGACACGGCCCAGACUACUACGGGAGGCAGCAGUGGGGAAUAUUGCACAAUGGGGGAAACCCUGAUGCAGCAACGCCGCGUGAGUGAUGACGGCCUUCGGGUUGUAAAGCUCUGUCUUUGGGGACGAUAAUGACGGUACCCAAGGAGGAAGUCACGGCUAACUACGUGCCAGCCGCCGCGGUAA